CCUACGGGUGGCUGCAGUGGGGAAUAUUGGACAAUGGGGGCAACCCUGAUCCAGCCAUGCCGCGUGUGUGAAGAAGGCCCUCGGGUUGUAAAGCACUUUCAGUGAGGAAGAACGCCUGGUGGUUAAUACCCAUCAGGAAAGACAUCACUCACAGAAGAAGCACCGGCUAACUCCGUGCCAGCAGCCGCGGUAAUACGGAGGGUGCGAGCGUUAAUCGGAAUUACUGGGCGUAAAGCGCGCGUAGGUGGCUUGAUAAGCCGGUUGUGAAAGCCCCGGGCUCAACCUGGGAACGGCAUCCGGAACUGUCAAGCUAGAGUGCAGGAGAGGAAGGUAGAAUUCCUGGUGUAGCGGUGAAAUGCGUAGAGAUCGGGAGGAAUACCAGUGGCGAAGGCGGCCUUCUGGACUGACACUGACACUGAGGUGCGAAAGCGUGGGUAGCAAACAGGAUUAGAUACCCCUGUAGUC
Molecule: ribosomal RNA, 465 nt
Filed under: Vreelandella stevensii
Lineage: Bacteria; Pseudomonadati; Pseudomonadota; Gammaproteobacteria; Oceanospirillales; Halomonadaceae
Description: partial 16S ribosomal RNA
Rfam family: Bacterial small subunit ribosomal RNA
Source: RNAcentral